This 826-nucleotide ribosomal RNA is filed under the name Mesobacillus foraminis. RNAcentral describes it as "bacterial SSU rRNA". It matches the Rfam family "Bacterial small subunit ribosomal RNA", at positions 72 to 881 of the family's 1533-position model. The record is from RNAcentral. Lineage: Bacteria; Bacillati; Bacillota; Bacilli; Caryophanales; Bacillaceae.
GAUGGAGCUUGCUCCCAAAGAUUAGCGGCGGACGGGUGAGUAACACGUGGGCAACCUGCCUGUAAGACUGGGAUAACUCCGGGAAACCGGGGCUAAUACCGGAUAAUUCAUUUCCUCUCAUGAGGAAAUGCUGAAAGACGGCUUCUCGCUGUCACUUACAGAUGGGCCCGCGGCGCAUUAGCUAGUUGGUGAGGUAACGGCUCACCAAGGCCACGAUGCGUAGCCGACCUGAGAGGGUGAUCGGCCACACUGGGACUGAGACACGGCCCAGACUCCUACGGGAGGCAGCAGUAGGGAAUCUUCCGCAAUGGACGAAAGUCUGACGGAGCAACGCCGCGUGAGCGAUGAAGGCCUUCGGGUCGUAAAGCUCUGUUGUUAGGGAAGAACAAGUAUCGGAGUAACUGCCGGUACCUUGACGGUACCUAACCAGAAAGCCACGGCUAACUACGUGCCAGCAGCCGCGGUAAUACGUAGGUGGCAAGCGUUGUCCGGAAUUAUUGGGCGUAAAGCGCGCGCAGGUGGUUCCUUAAGUCUGAUGUGAAAGCCCACGGCUCAACCGUGGAGGGUCAUUGGAAACUGGGGAACUUGAGUGCAGAAGAGGAAAGUGGAAUUCCACGUGUAGCGGUGAAAUGCGUAGAGAUGUGGAGGAACACCAGUGGCGAAGGCGACUUUCUGGUCUGUAACUGACACUGAGGCGCGAAAGCGUGGGGAGCGAACAGGAUUAGAUACCCUGGUAGUCCACGCCGUAAACGAUGAGUGCUAAGUGUUAGAGGGUUUCCGCCCUUUAGUGCUGCAGCAAACGCAUUAAGCACUCCGCCUGGGGAGU